This 253-nucleotide ribosomal RNA is filed under the name uncultured bacterium. RNAcentral's name for it is "partial 16S ribosomal RNA". It matches the Rfam family "Bacterial small subunit ribosomal RNA", at positions 524 to 776 of the family's 1533-position model. The record is from RNAcentral.
UACAGAGGUCCCGAGCGUUGUUCGGAUUCACUGGGCGUAAAGGGUGCGUAGGUGGCUGGGAAAGUUUGAUGUGAAAGCUCAGGGCUUAACCCUGAAAUGGCAUUGAAUACUGCCUGGCUGGAGGUUUGGAGGGGGGACUGGAAUUCUUGGUGUAGCAGUGAAAUGCGUAGAUAUCAAGAGGAACACCAGUGGCGAAGGCGAGUCCCUGGACAACACCUGACACUGAGGCACGAAAGCCGGGGGAGCAAACAGG